GAGUUUGAUCGUGGCUCAGAUUGAACGCUGGCGGCAGGCCUAACACGUGCAAGUCGGGCGGUAGAGAGAAGCUUGCUUCUCUUGAGAGCGGCGGGACGGGUGAGUAAUGCCUAGGAAUCUGCCUGGUAGUGGGGGAUAACGCUCGGAAACGGACGCUAAUACCGCAUACGUCCUACGGGAGAAAGCAGGGGACCUUCGGGCCUUGCGCCUAUCAGAUGAGCCUAGGUCGGAUUAGCUAGUUGGUGAGGUAACGGCUCACCAAGGCGACGAUCCGUAACUGGUCUGAGAGGAUGAUCAGUCACACUGGAACUGAGACACGGUCCAGACUCCUACGGGAGGCAGCGAGUGGGGAAUAUUGGACAAUGGGCGAAAGCCUGAUCCAGCCAUG
This 388-nucleotide ribosomal RNA is filed under the name uncultured bacterium. RNAcentral's name for it is "bacterial SSU rRNA". It matches the Rfam family "Bacterial small subunit ribosomal RNA", at positions 9 to 396 of the family's 1533-position model. The record is from RNAcentral.